RNAcentral lists this ribosomal RNA (523 nucleotides) under uncultured Glomeraceae. RNAcentral's name for it is "SSU rRNA". It matches the Rfam family "Eukaryotic small subunit ribosomal RNA", at positions 569 to 1092 of the family's 1831-position model. The record is from RNAcentral. Lineage: Eukaryota; Fungi; Glomeromycota; Glomeromycetes; Glomerales; Glomeraceae.
AGCAGCCGCGGUAAUUCCAGCUCCAAUAGCGUAUAUUAAAGUUGUUGCAGUUAAAAAGCUCGUAGUUGAAUUUCGGGGUUAGUAGGUUGGUCAUGCCUCUGGUAUGUACUGGUCUCACUGAUUCCUCCUUCCUGAUGAGCCGUAAUGCCAUUAAUUUGGUGUUGCGGGGAAUUUGGACUGUUACUUUGAAAAAAUUAGAGUGUUUUAAAGCAAGCUAACGCUUGAAUACAUUAGCAUGGAAUAAUGAAAUAGGACGUUCGAUCCUAUUUUGUUGGUUUCUAGGAUUGACGUAAUGAUUAAUAGGGAUAGUUGGGGGCAUUAGUAUUCAAUUGUCAGAGGUGAAAUUCUUGGAUUUAUUGAAGACUAACUACUGCGAAAGCAUUUGCCAAGGAUGUUUUCAUUAAUCAAGAACGAAAGUUAGGGGAUCGAAGACGAUCAGAUACCGUCGUAGUCUUAACCAUAAACUAUGCCGACUAGGGAUCGGAUGAUGUUAAUUUUUUAAUGACUCAUUCGGCGCCUUACG